This 391-nucleotide unclassified non-coding RNA is filed under the name soil metagenome. Its description in RNAcentral is "partial contains 5.8S ribosomal RNA, internal transcribed spacer 2, and large subunit ribosomal RNA". The stretch from base 1 to 122 matches the Rfam family "5.8S ribosomal RNA", at positions 35 to 154 of the family's 154-position model. The record is from RNAcentral.
GAUGAAGAACGUAGCGAAAUGCGAUACUUGGUGUGAAUUGCAGAAUCCCGUGAACCAUCGAGUCUUUGAACGCAAGUUGCGCCCGAAGCCACUAGGCCGAGGGCACGCCUGCCUGGGCGUCACACGCCGUUGCCCCCCCAUCUACUCCUUCGGGAUUGCGGGGGGGCGGAUGAUGGCCUCCCGUGCGCCUAGCCGCGCGGUUGGCAUAAACACCAAGUCCUCGGCGACGCACGCCACGACAAUCGGUGGUUGCGAAACCUCGGUUGCCCGUCGUGUGCGUUCGUCGCGCAUCGAGGGCUCGAAAAAAUGCUCGGCUCCGGCUGGGCUUUCAACGCGACCCCAGGUCAGGCGGGGUUACCCGCUGAAUUUAAGCAUAUCAAUAAGCGGAGGA